Molecule: ribosomal RNA, 301 nt
Filed under: uncultured bacterium
Lineage: Bacteria
Description: partial 16S ribosomal RNA
Rfam family: Bacterial small subunit ribosomal RNA
Source: RNAcentral
CAGCCGCCGCGGGAAUACGUAGGGUGCAAGCGUUAAUCGGAAUUACUGGGCGUAAAGCGUGCGCAGGCGGUUUGUUAAGACAGAUGUGAAAUCCCCGGGCUCAACCUGGGAACUGCAUUUGUGACUGUAUAGCUAGAGUACGGUAGAGGGGGAUGGAAUUCCGCGUGUAGCAGUGAAAUGCGUAGAUAUGCGGAGGAACACCGAUGGCGAAGGCAAUCCCCUGGACCUGUACUGACGCUCAUGCACGAAAGCGUGGGGAGCAAAUAGGAUUAGAUACCCCAGUAGUCCCUGUCUCUUAUAC